RNAcentral lists this long non-coding RNA (1090 nucleotides) under Mus pahari (shrew mouse). Its description in RNAcentral is "lncRNA (MGP_PahariEiJ_G0002222.1)". The record is from RNAcentral. Lineage: Eukaryota; Metazoa; Chordata; Mammalia; Rodentia; Muridae.
UUCAACCUCGUGGGGCCCCUUACCUACCGAAAGUGCUAGAAAUAAGGCCCAGGCUUACCACAGAUGCAGAGCAGGGUUAGAGCCGCCAGCAGAAGAACGCUGCUCCCUUUCAUGAUGACAGUCACAAGAACUGCUUGGGGGAUACCAGGCUUUUAUGCUGUAGAAGGUGGCACCUUGCCCAGGGGCGGGGCAUACCUCUCAGGACCUGGCAGGACAACUGGGCCAGGCAUGUCACUGUGCUCCAUUAGGUGCCAAGAAGUGCCAAACUUGAGUGGAUCAUAAGGGGGCAGUUGGCAAACAUGUCGGGAAUACUCAUUGUACAGGUGGUCUUGUAGAAGGCUGUAUUCUGAGCCCACCGGUCAUUACCGCCUUCAUGGGAAGCAGCUCUGACUGUUUAUGAAUGAUCCUCAAAAAUACAUAGCUCAUGGAAGAGUAACCAGAUGGGGAACUCCAUCUACUCAGCUCUGGGGAUGUCAGGAUCCAUGCUGGGCAGUGCCUGGUUGGUCAAAUAGCUGUUUGAGUCACCCAUAUUCUUGUGGUGUAGGACCAUGGGCUCAGCAGCAGAGGUACGUGGAACUUCUGAGUCUCCUUUGUAAUAGUGAAAACCACCUGUGAGAAGCAGAGAAGGCAUUUGAGGACACUGAAGAUGGUGAGUCCUUCCUGCAACAGCCCAUGCAGCUACUAGACAGCAGGCGGUCAGGUGCCAUGGCGGCUAAGAAGCGGGAGAUGCUUAUAUAAGAUCUGAUGUUACCGUUUGAAUAGUGUCUCCUACAAGAGAUGUUAGUUGGUGGGCUUUGGGGGACGUGAUUUGACCCUGAGGGCUCUGAUCUGAUUGAAUCAACUGGUUAAACUUUUGGGAUUAACUGGAUCCAUCAUGUGAUACAUCAUUAGUAGGUACUGAAACUUGGAGGAAGGUCCCUGAGUAGAGUCCUAGGGGACUGUGUCUUUCCUUGUGUUUAUUUCUUCUGUUUGUCCCCCCAUGAGGUGACAGUUCUCCUCUUUCAUAUGUCUCCACUGCCAGAGUGAGCGUGUUGAGCCAAGCAAUCAUGGGCUGAGAUAAUGAGAUCGAAUAAAUAAUUCGCCCUUAAGC